RNAcentral lists this non-coding RNA (25 nucleotides) under Rattus norvegicus (Norway rat). The record is from RNAcentral. Lineage: Eukaryota; Metazoa; Chordata; Mammalia; Rodentia; Muridae.
UAGUAAGAAGUAGGAUGCCAUGAUC